Amphiprion ocellaris (clown anemonefish) is the source of this 3247-nucleotide long non-coding RNA. The record is from Ensembl. NCBI's taxonomy places the organism in Eukaryota, Metazoa, Chordata, Actinopteri, Pomacentridae.
AUUCUGAUUAUGCAUAUCUCGUUUCUGUAUAUAGGCCAGACGUCCAACCCUUCGUCUCCGUCUGUCCACCGUCAGACGGCAGCAACACAACCGUACUGUGACCGUCUGUUUCUAUGACAACCGGAGCUGUAACCUUCAACACACUCUCCGCCUGUCUCUCUCUCUGCCUGUCUCUCUCUCUACCUCUGUCUCUCUGUCUGUUUCUCUGGUGCCAUUCUCAGACAACACCCGGUCCUUAAGGCGACUGCACCACCGCGGGAAACAGUCGAAUCACCAGGGCUUUAAGGUGGAACGUUGAAGGAACGUUUGGGUUGUUCUGAUCGUCUCAAUGCAGCGCUCACAUGCCGACAUGUUCAAGAACGGAAGUCAAACCCAGGACUGACUAAUAUGUUCUAAUUGGACAUCAUUAUAUAGAACAGAAGUCUCUGCCAUUGUGCUCCUUUACUAACUAAACUCCCACAAUGCUCUCUGCUUGCCAAUAUGAACUUCCUGUCGUCUAAUUGAUGCCUCCUCUGGUUUCUACAGGAUUAAACAGGAAGAGGCUCCACCUGGUGGAACAGCCAGGUACUACAGCUAAAGAAAAUACUGUUCAAAAUGACUCCAAACUUUCCUACCUAACUGGGACAUCCCAACUUUACAUAUUUUAACCCUUUUAGCCAAAUAUUUGCCUAAAAAUCACCCCAAAUUUAUUUCGUAUCACAAUUAUGAUUCUAAAAUGGACAACCUUAAAUUCUGCUGAUCAAACACUCAGAGUACAGAUGCAAAUUUAAAAAGUUUUUCUACUCAACAGUUUAAUUAAUGAAUUAUACAAAUGUGGAUCAGUCGAUGUUUAUCACUCAGCUGAGGAAGCCAGUUGGAACUACCAGUCAUUAAAAUGUCUCAGUUGGUUCAAGAAUCUUUGUCCCAGUUGACUACGAAUAUUCUUUGCUACCUGAGUUCUGAUUGGAGGUCAUUAACCACCACAAGAGUUAUUGUCAUGGUGCUCGUUGCUAGCUAAACUCCCACACGGCAGUUUAAGGCAUGUUUACACUUUUGGAUACAUUUAAAAUUAGUAUCUAAAAACACCAACAGUAAACCAGAUUCUGGUUCUGAUCCGGUCUUUGGGUUCUGUUUGAGAACAUCCUGGGGUCAGGAACCCAAAUAUGCUGCCUGGAGAAUGUGAGAACACCACGUCCAGAAACAGAGCAAUAUCCAAAUUGACUUCUUUCCAUUAUUGGUGCUGUGAGAACUGAAUUAAGACGGACUUGAUCAAACUGAACAUCUCCAACACACACUGACGGCAUCUUCAAGCGUCACGUCAGACGUUCAUCAGUCGGAUGUAGAACAUUUACUGAACUAUUUAUGGGUUUUGGGAACAGCGUUUGGAAGCAGAAGUGUUUGAUUGUUGGACACCAGAUAUCUGGAACUCAUGUUGACAUUUUAACUCCUAAAACAUGUGGAUUGAGAUCAAAGACGCUGGAUUUUGGUUGGACGCUAAACAUUUAUUUUACAUUUCCUUUAAACUUUUACAGGAUAUUUUGUCGUAUUUUCUGCAGUUUGGUUCUGAUAGAAAUCAAACAUCUUCAGGAACUAAAAAGAAGCUCAGUUUAGGAUCAAUAAAGUCAUAACUUACUAAGACUUCCUUUCCAAGACCAUAAAUGCCUCAAUUUUCCAUGAAAUAAACCAAAAAUAUGGUGACGGAUAACACAAAAUCAACCAACAACAAGCCUCUUUCAACUCAAACGUUAUUUUCAGAGACGUGGUCGAUGCCGGAGGUGUGUGUUGCAUUUACUGUGGUACGAUGUUGCAUUCACGUCGCGUUGAUCUGUUGGAAUUACCAACGUCCGACUAGUAAAAAGUCCCCAACCUUCAUUGGAGAUGUUUAAAUUCCAAGGUUACGUGAACGCAGCAUUAAAGAACCCAAACUGAAACCAGAUGCCGCCUUGUUCCCUGUUUCAGGAACGGAAGAUCCUUUUAUUCAACAAGUCCAAGAAAAGGUAUUUAAAAGACACGAGCCACUUGUGAACUCGGAGUGCACCUGGAGGGUUUAGGGUGCAUGGUGGGGUGGAAGGUAGUGCACUAUGAAGGGUGAAAGGAAGGAAACAAGUGCACUGUGGAAUGUUUUCCUUACAGGUGGCUCACUGUGAAGAGUUUAAAUGUAAAAUAUAGUGCACAUUAAAGGUUCAGGAUGGAACCCUUAGACCACUGAGUUACCCUUAGGAACCCUUAGACCUCUGAGGUACCCUUAGGAACCUUUAGAUCUCUGAGGCACCCUUAGGAACCCUUAGACCUCUGAGGUACCCUUAGGAACCCUUAUUGGUCUAUUCUACACCCUAAACCCUGCUAGUGUGGUCUAUUCCACCACUUAGGGCUCCUUAGACCGAUAAAGGUUCCUACAGCAGGAAGUGGAAGAACCACGGUGGUGUUGGGUAAUUUAGGGUGAAGAGUAGACCACAAAGGAUUCCUAAGGGUUCCUUCGACCAUUAAGGUUUCAUAUGGCAGGAACUGGAAGAACCUCUGUGGUGUUGGGUGGUUUAGGGUGAAGAAUAGACCACUAAGGGUGCCUACAGUUGAAGAACCUUGGUGGCGUUGGGUAGUUUACGGUGAUUUUAAGUGUUCCUACAGCAGGAAGUGGAGGAACCAUGGUGGUGUUGGGUCGUUUAGGGUGAAGAAUAGACCAAUAAGGGUUCCUACAGUUGAAGAACCUUGGUGGUUUAGGUUGGUUUUAAGGGUUCCUACAACAGGAAGUGGAGGAACCAUGGUGGUGUUGGGUGGUGCGGGGGGUGUAGGGUGCUGUUUGAGACCAAGCCUUGUUGCUGAUGGGCGAACUCAACUAACCAAUCAAACAGUGUUAUUUGUACAGAACUAACAGCUGCUAACUGACUGCUAACAGCUCUCUGUCGUUGUUUGUAAUAAACUUCAUUUUUCAUCCAAAACCACCAACCGUGUGGCAUCUGUUGGCCAAAAGUCGUGAGAAUUACCCAAGAAAAGACACAAAACCACGAGACAGAUCAACAAAACGGGAUACAAAGAUUAAAAACAGAUUUUCUACUGGGUUGAAUUAAAAAUCUGUUCUACUUGGAUCCAGUAUCUUAGUUUUUGUGCUCAAUCAGUUAUAGAAGUUCAAUGAAAACAGCUUUUUAAAAACUUUUUUACUUACCAGGUUUUCUGUUACUAUGAACUGAAAAAUAGAACUUUAAAUGAUGACUUCAUUUUUUUCAUAAUUUUACAUUCACCAAUAAUCAGAGAUUAUCUGAUCUGUUUGUCC